This 386-nucleotide ribosomal RNA is filed under the name Rhizophydiales sp. RNAcentral describes it as "partial small subunit ribosomal RNA". It matches the Rfam family "Eukaryotic small subunit ribosomal RNA", at positions 582 to 975 of the family's 1831-position model. Lineage: Eukaryota; Fungi; Chytridiomycota; Chytridiomycetes; Rhizophydiales. The record is from RNAcentral.
AUUCCAGCUCCAAUAGCGUAUAUUAAAGUUGUUGCAGUUAAAAAGCUCGUAGUUGAAUUUUGGGUUCGGUUGACUGGUCUGCCUUUGGUUUGAACUGGUCGACUGAACCUUUCCUUCUGGCGAACUCUUGUGCUAUUAAUUUAGUGCGAUUGGGAACCAGGACUUUUACUUUGAAAAAAUUAGAGUGUUUAAAGCAGGCUCACGCUUGAAUACAUUAGCAUGGAAUAAUAAAAUAGGACUUUGGUUUUAUUUUGUUGGUUUCUAAGACCGAAGUAAUGAUUAAUAGGGAUAGUUGGGGGCAUUAGUAUUUAGUCGUCAGAGGUGAAAUUCUUGGAUUGACUAAAGACUAACUUCUGCGAAAGCAUUUGCCAAGGAUGUUUUCAUCA